This 443-nucleotide ribosomal RNA is filed under the name uncultured prokaryote. Its description in RNAcentral is "bacterial SSU rRNA". It matches the Rfam family "Bacterial small subunit ribosomal RNA", at positions 355 to 796 of the family's 1533-position model. The record is from RNAcentral.
UAGGGAAUAUUGGUCAAUGGACGGAAGUCUGAACCAGCCAUGCCGCGUGCAGGAAGACGGCCUUCUGGGUUGUAAACUGCUUUUAUCAGGGAACAAAUAGCCCAUGCGUGGGAAGUUGAGUGUACCUGAAGAAUAAGCACCGGCUAACUCCGUGCCAGCAGCCGCGGUAAUACGGAGGGUGCAAGCGUUGUCCGGAUUUAUUGGGUUUAAAGGGUGCGUAGGCGGUCAAUUAAGUCAGUGGUGAAAUCCUCCAGCUCAACUGGAGAACUGCCAUUGAUACUGGUUGACUUGAGUACAGACGAGGUAGGCGGAAUUUAUGGUGUAGCGGUGAAAUGCAUAGAUACCAUAAAGAACACCGAUAGCGAAGGCAGCUUACUAGACUGUAACUGACGCUGAGGCACGAAAGCGUGGGGAGCGAACAGGAUUAGAUACCCCCGUAGUCC